Molecule: small RNA, 567 nt
Filed under: Pan troglodytes (chimpanzee)
Lineage: Eukaryota; Metazoa; Chordata; Mammalia; Primates; Hominidae
Description: retained intron
Source: RNAcentral
CUUAUUUGCAGAUCUCCUAUCUUGCUCUUUGUAGGUUACUUUAAAAAAAAAAUUAUUCCUAUUCUUUUAUUCUUGGGGUCUCAAAAAAAGAUUUUGUUAGUAUUUUUUUUUCUUUUUUGGCUCAGAAAAAAAAGAUUUUGGAAUCUGCUAUCUUGGAAUUAGACCUUCUGAUUCAUCUUAAGUGGGAUACCUUCCAUCCUUGUCUGUGUAUAACCUUUCCUAAGGUAAAGCUAACUUUCUUCUCUCUCAGAUGGGUUUCAGCCCAGCAGAAGCAUUAUCUUUGCCAGUUGGAGUGCUGGAGACUUUGGAUCGGUUGGUGCCACUGAAUGGCUGGAGGGAUACCUUUCGUCCCUGCAUUUAAAGGCUUUCACUUACAUUAAUCUGGAUAAAGCGGUUCUUGGUACCAGCAACUUCAAGGUUUCUGCCAGCCCACUGUUGUAUACGCUUAUUGAGAAAACAAUGCAAAAUGUGAAGCAUCCGGUUACUGGGCAAUUUCUAUAUCAGGACAGCAACUGGGCCAGCAAAGUUGAGAAACUCACUUUAGACAAUGCUGCUUUCCCUUUCCUU